Molecule: ribosomal RNA, 576 nt
Filed under: Triticum aestivum (bread wheat)
Lineage: Eukaryota; Viridiplantae; Streptophyta; Magnoliopsida; Poales; Poaceae
Description: partial small subunit ribosomal RNA
Source: RNAcentral
AUGAACAUAGCCCUCCUGACCCGCUGGCUCUGGCGCAUUGCCAAUGGCAACGGAGGUCUCUGGCUCACCAUCAUCCGGAACAAAUAUCUUCGUGGACAGCCCCUUGCCUUCUGUCAGCGCUCGGGCGGCUCCCAGUUCUGGCAGGCCGUCGUCCAGCUGCUUCCGGUGCUUCGUAUUGGCACCUCCAUAGCGGUUGGUACGGGAUCUUCGACACUGUUCUGGCUGGACCGAUGGCUUGGGGACUCCCGCUUGGCCGCACGAUUCCCUGCGCUCUUCUCAAUUGCAGUUGACCCUCGUAUCUCUGUCGAGGCGGCCCUUAUUGACUUAGGGCGCCUCGCCUUCUGACGCCCCUUCGGGCCUCCAGAAGUGGCUGCCUGAGACACCCUUAUGCAGGACAUUGCCCUCCUCCCUAUGGAUGGCGUUGGCUCCCCGGAUAUAACGUCUUGGGGGCUCGAGCCUUCGGGCUGCUUUUCCACCAAAUCACUCUACGCGGCCAUCGCCCCCUCGACGGCACCCGAACCCUUCAGUUUGAUCUGGGAUAUCCGCCUGCCCUUGAAGAUCCGGAUCUUCUUAUGG